RNAcentral lists this ribosomal RNA (483 nucleotides) under uncultured bacterium. RNAcentral's name for it is "bacterial SSU rRNA". It matches the Rfam family "Bacterial small subunit ribosomal RNA", at positions 28 to 507 of the family's 1533-position model. The record is from RNAcentral.
GAUGAACGCUAGCUACAGGCUUAACACAUGCAAGUCGAGGGGAAACGAUAGAGAAAGCUUGCUUUUUCUAGGCGUCGACCGGCGCACGGGUGAGUAACGCGUAUCCAACCUGCCCACCACUUGGGGAUAACCUUGCGAAAGUAAGACUAAUACCCAAUGACGUCUCUAGAAGACAUCUGAAAGGUCAGCCGGUAGGGGAUGGGCAUGCGGCGCAUUAGCUAGUUGGCGGGGCAACGGCCCACCAAGGCGACGAUGCGUAGGGGUUCUGAGAGGAAGGUCCCCCACACUGGUACUGAGACACGGACCAGACUCCUACGGGAGGCAGCAGUGAGGAAUAUUGGUCAAUGGGCGAGAGCCUGAACCAGCCAAGUAGCGUGCAGGACGACGGCCCUAUGGGUUGUAAACUGCUUUUAUAAGGGAAUAAAGUGAGUCUCGUGAGACUUUUUGCAUGUACCUUAUGAAUAAGGACCGGCUAAUUCCGUG